RNAcentral lists this ribosomal RNA (834 nucleotides) under Triticum aestivum (bread wheat). Its description in RNAcentral is "partial small subunit ribosomal RNA". Lineage: Eukaryota; Viridiplantae; Streptophyta; Magnoliopsida; Poales; Poaceae. The record is from RNAcentral.
AUGCAGGGCAGCAGUCAUGUCAAGAGUUGGGCGAAAACAGUGCAAAAAGAAUGGAAAAUUCUAGAGAACGACUUACCAGAAACUAUUUACGUGCGGGUGUUCGAGGACCGCAUGGACCUACUCCGGGUGGUGAUGGUGGGUGCGAGCGGGACACUGUACCAUCACGGGCUCUUCUUUUUCGACUUGCAGCUGCCUCCAUCAUACCCGGCUGCGCCACCGCAAGUGUACCACCACUCCUUCGGCCUACGCCUCAAUCCCAACCUCUAUGAGUCCGGUACCGUGUGUCUUAGCCUGCUAGGCACAUUUGGAGGCGAGGGCAGUGAGGUCUGGUCACCGUCGACAUCAAGCAUCCUCCAAGUCGUUGUCUCCAUCCAGGGCCUCGUGCUCAACGACCAACCAUACUACAACGAGGCUGGAUAUGAGACUCUGGUUGGCAAACCAGAGGGCCGCCGCAAUGCCUUGCCCUAUAGCGAAAAUGCUUACCUGCUUACCCUCCAGACCAUGCUCCAUCUUUUGCGCCGGCCACCUCAGGGAUUUCAAGAAUUUGUCAAGGAUCACUUCCGCCAUCGGGGGAGGUUCGUGCUCGGGACAUGCACCGCGUGGUUGAAGGGAUGCGGUGUCAGCAGUGCCCAUGCCACCGAAGCGGGAGGGGAACAUCCAUGUUCUGCGGGGUUAAGGCUUGCACUCGCCAACAUGGUGUCGAGCCUCGUGGCAGCCUUCAUGGAGAUCGGGGCCGAGGGUUGUGAAGAGUUCCAGGAGUUGCGAGUCCCAUUACCAUGUGCUCGCAACACCACUCACACUAGUGCAGAACCGGGCAAUAGCACCGGUUCGUAA